GGGCCCGCCGAGCCGGCCGCCGCGCCGCCGGUGGGGGAGAAACACCGCAACGGUCUCAUCGUCGACGCGCACGAAAGGAGCGUGAUGGAUGUUGAGGGGGAGGACGAGGAGGAGGAGGAGGACAGCCAGCCCAGCACGCCGUUCGAUCUGUUCGUCCAGACGUUUGCAAAACGGCUGGACAGCACAACACCGCAGAAGAAGCGACAAAAGAAAGCGAAAAAGGCCUGGACAAAGAUGUCGGAAGAGCAGCGUCGGAUAGUCGAGGACAGGUUUGACCGCCAGUUCCCGAACAAGGCCGGCUAGAGGCGCGCCGCCGCCGUCCGGGCCGGGCCCGGGAGUUGGCGCCGAGGGCUGCGGUCAUCGCCCCCGCCGCGGCC
Long non-coding RNA from Pollicipes pollicipes, 377 nucleotides. RefSeq lists it as uncharacterized. NCBI's taxonomy places the organism in Eukaryota, Metazoa, Arthropoda, Thecostraca, Pollicipedomorpha, Pollicipedidae. The record is from RefSeq and is a predicted model, not a curated record. The transcript is spliced from 3 exons.